This 253-nucleotide ribosomal RNA is filed under the name uncultured bacterium. RNAcentral's name for it is "partial 16S ribosomal RNA". It matches the Rfam family "Bacterial small subunit ribosomal RNA", at positions 524 to 776 of the family's 1533-position model. The record is from RNAcentral.
UACGUAGGGGGCUAGCGUUGUCCGGAUUUAUUGGGCGUAAAGAGCGUGUAGGCGGCCAGGUAGGUCUGGUGUGAAAACUCGAGGCUUAACCUCGAGAUGUCAUCGGAAAUCAUCUGGCUAGAGUCCGGAAGAGGAGAGUGGAAUUCCUGGUGUAGCGGUGAAAUGCGCAGAUAUCAGGAAGAACACCAAUGGCGAAAGCAGCUCUCUGGGACGGUACUGACGCUGAGACGCGAAAGCGUGGGGAGCGAACAGG